GUGAAGCGGCAACAGCUCAAAUUUGAAAUCUGGCGCCUUCGGUGCCCGAGUUGUAAUUUGUAGAGGGUAGCUCGAGCCCGCCCCCGUCUAAGUCCCCUGGAACGGGGCGUCGUAGAGGGUGAGAAUCCCGUAUGCGACGGGGUGGCGUGCUCGUGUGAGCUCCCUUCGACGAGUCGAGUUGUUUGGGAAUGCAGCUCUAAAUGGGAGGUAAAUUCCUUCUAAAGCUAAAUACCGGCCAGAGACCGAUAGCGCACAAGUAGAGUGAUCGAAAGAUGAAAAGCACUUUGGAAAGAGAGUUAAAAAGCACGUGAAAUUGUUGAAAGGGAAGCGCUCACGACCAGACUCGGGUGCGGCUGCUCAGCCGGUCUUCUGACCGGUGCAUCGGUUGUACCCGGGCCAGCAUCGGUUCGGGCGGUCGGAUAAAGGCCUCGGGAACGUAGCUCCUCUCGGGGAGUGUUAUAGCCCGGGGCGCAAUGCGGCCUGCCCGGACCGAGGAACGCGUUCGCUAGGAUGCUGGCGUAAUGGUCGUUAGCGGCCCGUCUUGAAACACGGACCAAGGAGUCUACCAUCUGUGCGAGUAUUAGGGUGUCAAACCCUUGUGCGUAAUGAAAGUGAACGGAGGUGGGAACCCUUUGGGUGCACCAUCGACCGAUCCAGAUGUCCUCGGACGGAUUUGAGUAAGAGCACCGCUGGUGGGACCCGAAAGAUGGUGAACUAUGCGCGGAUAGGGUGAAGCCAGAGGAAACUCUGGUGGAGGCUCGCAGCGGUUCUGACGUGCAAAUCGAUCGUCAAAUCUACGCAUAGGGGCGAAAGACUAAUCGAACCAU
This 827-nucleotide ribosomal RNA is filed under the name Thyrinula parasitica. RNAcentral describes it as "partial 28S ribosomal RNA". It matches the Rfam family "Eukaryotic large subunit ribosomal RNA", at positions 93 to 943 of the family's 3401-position model. Lineage: Eukaryota; Fungi; Ascomycota; Dothideomycetes; Asterinales; Asterinaceae. The record is from RNAcentral.